CCAUGAAUUGGCGGAGGCGCAGGUGGGCUUUCUGACAGCCCAGGUCACGCAGGCUCAGGCCCGGUUUCAGGAG
Molecule: transfer RNA, 73 nt
Filed under: Achromobacter piechaudii
Lineage: Bacteria; Pseudomonadati; Pseudomonadota; Betaproteobacteria; Burkholderiales; Alcaligenaceae
Description: tRNA-Gln
Source: RNAcentral